Molecule: ribosomal RNA, 933 nt
Filed under: Triticum aestivum (bread wheat)
Lineage: Eukaryota; Viridiplantae; Streptophyta; Magnoliopsida; Poales; Poaceae
Description: partial small subunit ribosomal RNA
Source: RNAcentral
AUGGGUCACGCGAGCGCAGCCCUCCCCGUGAUUGACCUCGCGUCCCCGGACAUCGGCGCCGCCACCAAAUCCAUCCGGCAGGCGCUGGUGGAUUACGGCUUCUUCUACGUGAUCAACCACGGGAUCGACGACGCCCUGAUGAAGAGCGUCUACGCGGAGAGCGCCAGCUUCUUCCAGCAGCCAAUGGAGGAGAAGAUGGCGCUGCACAAGAACAGCAGCCACAGAGGCUACAUUCCGCCCGAUUUUGAAGGCUUCGAGGCUGACGCUGGUGGCAAGGGGGACCUAUUGGAGUGUUUCCACAUUGGGUCUGGGGUAGACGGCGACUCCAAGAAUCCUGUGAAUCAGUGGCCUCCUGCAGAACGCUUUCCAUAUUGGAAGGAGACAAUGAAGUCGUACUAUCAAUGUGCAAUGGGAACUAGUAAAAGGAUAUUGUCCCUAAUUGCUUUGAGUUUGGACCUUGACGCUGAAUUCUUCAAGCCAGAUGGCUCCGAAACAAUUCUUCGACCAAUUCAUUACUCAGGUCGGGCAAUUGAAUCGAAACAUGGAAGUGAUCAUGGUGCAAACGCUCAUACGGAUUAUGGAAUGUUAACUCUUCUUUCAACAGAUGGCACCCCUGGCCUGCAGAUAUGCAGGGACAAGGAUGGCCGUCCCCAGCUCUGGGAAGAUGUUCAUCACAUUGAUGGGGCACUUGUUGUGAACAUUGGUGAUUUGCUAGAAAGGUGGACAAAUAAUGUUUAUAGGUCAACCCUGCAUCGUGUUUUGAUGGUUGGCAAAGAGCGGUAUUCAGUGGCUUUCUUUGUUUGGCCAAGCCCAGAUAUGAUGGUUACAUGCAUAGAAUGUUGUUGCAGCGAGGCAAAUCCACCAAGAUACCCGCCUAUUAGGAGUGACGAAUACUUGGAGCAGAGAUUAACUUCCACAUACAAAUACAAAUAG